UAUUUCGGCAACACAGUCUCACCCCUAUUCGUCACAUACUGCCGUUUGGUCAUUUCCCCCUCACGUCCAUAAGCCGACGUUGAGGGUACCCCCUAUUCGUCGCUUGACAACGUAGAGGGUCGUCUGAUAGAUUUGAGUGCAAAUCCCUCAUCUUUGAAUUUUGACGAAAUGGGGUUAUCCAUCCAGCGGUUUGCCUGCGCUGGAAAGUAUGGUUUCAGGUUCCUUAAUCCCUGUCCUUUUAAAAAAACAGCACCUCAUUACAUCGGAAAAAAAAGGCACUUUUAAGAGCCACAUUUGUUUUGUAUCUUGUUACUCUCUCUACUGUUGUAUUGUGUCUCUCUCUCUCUUGCUGUCUUACUGUCUCUCCCUCCCCUCUGAGUGGGGUUUUUGUUUGUUUGUUUUGUCUUUUUUUGUCCCUGAGUGUUUAUAGUGUGUUUAUAUUUUGUGCCAUGUCUGAUCCUGAGAUGGACCGUCUCCUGAAUGAGAUGAGUGACCUUGUCGAUCAGGCUGAACAUCAAGCUCACCUCCAACAGCUCAUUAGCAUGCACCAGGAAGCAGAACCAUCCACCGGUCAGCCUUCCACCAGUAAUCCAUCCACCAGCCGGCCAUCAAAAAGCAAGCAAGAUGUUAGGUGGAUUAAGAGGGACAGUGAUGGAAACAUUAUUUACGGCAGGCCCAGAUCAUCCCGGAAACAAGCAGCAGGUCCCAGUCACAGCCAGAGUCGAAAGACUGGUGUCUCUCAUAUCAGGGCUCCUGAAACCAGUGCGGAAAUGACCAGUGACUUUCCUUCCGUUACUGCAGAGUCCUUCCUUCAAGAGUUUAAAAGCUCACUGUUUGAGGAAAUACAUGACGAUGAAACGGUACUUCAAGCCUCAACAGACUGGUCGACCCGAAAGAGCCUCAUAUCAGGGUGGUGGGAGAAAGAGAGACCCCGACUGGUCAACACCAUGGUGGCUCGACAACAUGCGGCAACUCGGAUCUGCCAACAUUGUGGAAAUGGUCCAGCCGUAAUCCGUUGUUGUGACUGCCGACCACACCCAUUCCUCUGUGGUCAGUGUGAUGUCAGGGUCCACCGAGGUCAAGUGUUCCACAACAGGGAUUCGAUGACACAUGCAUUCUUUCAUCCAUUGCCUCCCACAACUUGUGUUGUGGAGAGGGUUCUAACCCAGUGUGAGCGUCUUGUACCUUUGGAGAUGCCAGAGACAAUAUGCGGUUGUCUACGAGUAUCGUCCAGUGUCAUCGCAGGACAGUCCAUAGUUGUGGUUACAAUGAAUGGGCGAUAUGAUCUCAGAUUGCCUCAGAUUAGAUGCAAAGCAUGUGAAGCCACUUGGAGUCCUGGAGUGGAUGACCUGAUCCGUAAUGACUACUGGCCUGCCACUUCUCACUAUUCAACUGUGUAUGCAACAGAUGUCCUUUUUUCUUUUGAAGAGCUGAAGAUGGCAGCACCAGGGAUGUCUAGCCAAGCAUUUCUUAGAAUGCUGGAUCAACGCACUGUUCGCUUUGGCCGUAGCGGAAACAUCACAGCAGACAGCUUCCGGAAAAGCUUUUUGGAGUGGGAAGCUGUCCGAUUCGAAGUGGACAAAUUAUGCCAGGAGGACCACUUUGACUGCCCAGCGUGCAGCCCAGACAUGCUUGCAGUAUCCGUUGAUGGAAACCGUAAGCACUACAGAUUCAAGAGUGCAGCAAGAUCGGAGGAAAAAGCCAUCUUUGAUGGCGUGUUCAUCGCAAAUGAUGAUGAUGUAGCAAGAUUCGUUGACUAUGUCCAUACCUCAACCAGUCAUGUCUCUGGAAGAGGUGUCUGUGGAGGGCAAUGGUCAGCGGCACGUGAAACGUCUCAGAAGUCCUCAGGAAAAACAGACGAGGAGGGCCUGGAGCUCGCUGUAUGUCGUCAUGGGGUUCUCCUUCGUGCCCUCAAUAUGUUCAGGGGGGAGAUUUUUGCCUACCCCCUGUACCUCCGAAAGCAAAUGGCCUGUAAGCCAGUUAAAUUUUUUGCAAUGGAUGUGGCAUGCAAGUACUGGCCUUACCUCCAGAGAGUGACAGAGAAAUGCCCUGAGCUUGAGGAUCUCCUCACCAUGAGGCCAUUUCUUUCUGUUUUUCAUGCCAAAGCUCAUGAUUUCAAAUGUGAGGUAAAAUGGAGUGGAGCAUAUCAGGAGGGGGCUGGUUCGACUCUUGGGGAAGAGGUGGAGCAGUGCAACGCCUUCCUCUCGAGGAUUGCUGUUACGACAAAGCACAUGUCAAAAGCAGGACGCAUAGACAUGCUGACGAUCAUGGCCAUGCGCUGGAACCAACAAAAGUUUGACAACUUGGCUUCUACCCUUGCCCGCCGAUAUCGGAAGGCCACAAUAGCCCUGCAAUGCCAGUUGCAUAACCUGGAGGCCAUGAAAACGGAAAUGGACGUCUCAGACAAUCAACUGGAGAGGUGGAUCACUGAUAUCAAUGAGUGGGCAGAAGCAACAACAUCCCCAAAUGAUGCUGAUGUUGCCGCUGUUGCCAGCCGAAUUGAGGAGCUGGUGGCAAGUGUUAAGAGGAGGUCCCAGCGUCUUUACAAGGAUAGUGACGGAUGCAAAGGACGUGCCCGAAUCCGCCGAAAGAUCAGGGAGGAAAAAAAAAUCUUAAAUUCUGUAGUGGAAAAGUAUAACACCUUGGUUCCUAAUGCAGAAAAACUGACAUUGGACACCAUUCUAUCUGAUGAGAUUGUUUGGCGAUGGCAGCUUACACACGGUG
Long non-coding RNA from Cyprinus carpio carpio, 2724 nucleotides. Lineage: Eukaryota; Metazoa; Chordata; Actinopteri; Cypriniformes; Cyprinidae. The record is from Ensembl.